UAGUGCCUACGGGGCGCAGCAGUAGGGAAUUUUCGUCAAUGGGCGCAAGCCUGAACGAGCAAUGCCGCGUGAACGAGGAAGGUCUUCGGAUCGUAAAGUUCUGUUGAAGGGGAAAAAGAGCGGAGAGAGGAAAUGGUCUCCGAUUGAUAUUACCCUUCGAGGAAGUCACGGCUAACUACGUGCCAGCAGCCGCGGUAAUACGUAGGUGGCGAGCGUUAUCCGGAAUGAUUGGGCGUAAAGGGUGCGUAGGCGGGACGGUAAGUCAGCGGUAAAAAUGCGGAGCUCAACUCCGUCGAGCCGUUGAA
Molecule: ribosomal RNA, 305 nt
Filed under: uncultured bacterium
Lineage: Bacteria
Description: bacterial SSU rRNA
Rfam family: Bacterial small subunit ribosomal RNA
Source: RNAcentral